This 1480-nucleotide ribosomal RNA is filed under the name uncultured prokaryote. Its description in RNAcentral is "partial 16S ribosomal RNA". It matches the Rfam family "Bacterial small subunit ribosomal RNA". The record is from RNAcentral.
GCUCAGAACGAACGCUGGCGGCAGGCUUAAUCCAUGCAAGUCGCGCGGUAAGUGCUCCUUCGGGAGUACACGAGCGGCGAACGGGUGAGUAACGGGUGGACAACCUGCCUCUUGAAGGAGAACAACAGCGGGAAACUGCUGCUAAUGCUCCGUACCUUCUGUAGUCGCAUGUCCGCAGAAGAAAGGCGCUUCUGGCGUCGUCGAAAGAUGAGUCCGCCUCCCAUUAGCUAGUUGGUGAGAUAAUAGCCCACCAAGGCAACGAUGGGUAGCCGAGCUGAGAGGUUGAUCGGCCACACUGGGACUGAGACACGGCCCAGACACCUACGGGUGGCAGCAGUGGGGAAUAUUGCACAAUGGGCGAAAGCCUGAUGCAGCCAUGCCGCGUGGAGGAUGAAGGCCUUCGGGUCGUAAACUCCUUUUCUGAGGGAAGAACAACCGGGGUAGGAAAUGAUCCCGGCUUGACGGUACCUUAGGAAUAAGCAACGGCUAACUCCGUGCCAGCAGCCGCGGUAAUACGGAGGUUGCGAGCGUUGUUCGGAAUUACUGGGCGUAAAGGGAGCGCAGGCGGCCAGGUCAGUCUAAAGUGAAAGCCCGGGGCUUAACCUCGGAAUUGCUUUGGAUACUGUUGGACUUGAGUACGUGAGAGGAAAGUGGAAUUCCUGGUGUAGCGGUGAAAUGCGUAGAUAUCAGGAGGAACACCGGUGGCGAAAGCGGCUUUCUGGCACGUUACUGACGCUGAGACUCGAAAGCGUGGGGAGCAAACAGGAUUAGAUACCCUGGUAGUCCACGCCGUAAACGUUGUGCACUAGGUGUAGGAGGUAUCGACCCCUUCUGUGCCGCAGCUAACGCAUUAAGUGCACCGCCUGGGGAGUACGCGCGCAAGCGUGAAACUCAAAGGAAUUGACGGGGGCCCGCACAAGCGGUGGAGCAUGUGGUUUAAUUCGAGGCAACGCGAAGAACCUUACCCAGGCUUGACAUCCUGCGCUACUUAUGGAAACAUGAGGUUCUCUUCGGAGACGCAGAGACAGGUGUUGCAUGGCUGUCGUCAGCUCGUGUCGUGAGAUGUUGGGUUAAGUCCCGCAACGAGCGCAACCCUUAUCCUUAGUUACCAGCGGUUCGGCCGGGGACUCUAUGGAGACUGCCCGUGAUAAGCGGGAGGAAGGUGGGGACGACGUCAAGUCAUCAUGGCCCUUACGUCUGGGGCUACACACGUGCUACAAUGGCCGGAACAGUGAGCAGCAAAAUCGCGAGGUAGAGCUAAUCUCAAAAAUCCGGUCUCAGUUCGGAUUGGAGUCUGCAACUCGACUCCAUGAAGUUGGAAUCGCUAGUAAUCGCGUAUCAGCAAUGACGCGGUGAAUACGUUCCCGGGCCUUGUACACACCGCCCGUCACAUGACCCGAGUCGGUUGCACCCGAAGUCGCUGACCCAACCCGCAAGGGAGGGAGGUGCCGAAGGUCCGUCCGGUAAGGGGGACGAAGUC